AUACGGAGGAUGCAAGCGUUAUCCGGAUUUAUUGGGUUUAAAGGGUGCGUAGGCGGGGACUUAAGUCAGCGGUGAAAGUUUGCGGCUCAACCGUAAAAUUGCCGUUGAAACUGGGUCUCUUGAGUGUAAAUGAAGUAGGCGGAAUUCGUGGUGUAGCGGUGAAAUGCAUAGAUAUCACGAGGAACUCCGAUUGCGAAGGCAGCUUACUAAGCUACAACUGACGCUGAAGCACGAAAGCGUGGGUAUCAAACAGGAUUAGAUACCCUGGUAGUCCACGCCGUAAACGAUGAUAACUAGCUGUUUGCGAUAUACCGUAAGUGGCUAAGCGAAAGCGAUAAGUUAUCCACCUGGGGAGUACGCCGGCAACGGUGAA
This 373-nucleotide ribosomal RNA is filed under the name uncultured Dysgonomonas sp. Its description in RNAcentral is "bacterial SSU rRNA". It matches the Rfam family "Bacterial small subunit ribosomal RNA", at positions 523 to 898 of the family's 1533-position model. Lineage: Bacteria; Pseudomonadati; Bacteroidota; Bacteroidia; Bacteroidales; Dysgonomonadaceae. The record is from RNAcentral.